CAGCGCCACAAGUGGAGAUCAUUAUUAUUGGGCCUAAAGCGUCCGUAGCCGGUUUAAUAAAUCUUCUGUGAAAUUGUUGGGCUUAACCUAACAACGUGCAAGAGAAACUGUUAGACUAGGAAUCGGGAGGAGUUAGAAGUAUUUUAGGGGGAGCGGUAAAAUGCUAUAAUCCCUAGAGGACUACCAGUGGCAAAGGCGUCUAACUAGAACGAAUUCGACGGUGAGGGACGAAAGCUAGGGGAGCGAUCCGGAUUAGAUACCCGAGUAGUCC
This 271-nucleotide ribosomal RNA is filed under the name uncultured archaeon. RNAcentral's name for it is "partial 16S ribosomal RNA". It matches the Rfam family "Archaeal small subunit ribosomal RNA", at positions 477 to 747 of the family's 1478-position model. The record is from RNAcentral.